Molecule: ribosomal RNA, 489 nt
Filed under: uncultured bacterium
Lineage: Bacteria
Description: bacterial SSU rRNA
Rfam family: Bacterial small subunit ribosomal RNA
Source: RNAcentral
GGCUCAGAUUGAACGCUGGCGGCAUGCUUUACACAUGCAAGUCGAACGGGGUGAGGAGCUUGCUCCUCAUCUAGUGGGCGAACGGGUGAGUAAUACAUCGGAACGUACCGUGUAGUGGGGGAUAACGUAGCGAAAGUUACGCUAAUACCGCAUACGAUCCACGGAUGAAAGCAGGGGACCUUCGGGCCUUGUGCUAUACGAGCGGCCGAUGUCUGAUUAGCUAGUUGGUGGGGUAAAGGCCCACCAAGGCAACGAUCAGUAGCGGGUCUGAGAGGAUGAUCCGCCACACUGGGACUGAGACACGGCCCAGACUCCUACGGAGGCAGCAGUGGGGAAUUUUGGACAAUGGGCGCAAGCCUGAUCCAGCCAUGCCGCGUGUCUGAAGAAGGCCUUCGGGUUGUAAAGGACUUUUGUCAGGGAGCAAAACCCAGCAGCUAAUAUCUGUUGGGGAUGAGAGUACCUGAAGAAUAAGCACCGGCUAACUACGUG